This 6601-nucleotide unclassified non-coding RNA is filed under the name Pectinophora gossypiella (pink bollworm). Its description in RNAcentral is "protein son of sevenless". Lineage: Eukaryota; Metazoa; Arthropoda; Insecta; Lepidoptera; Gelechiidae. The record is from RNAcentral.
CGUCGCUUUGCCGAUCAAAAGAAUUGGAAGUGUAAUUUUUUUCAAUUUAUCUCUUCUAUAGUUAACGCAAUCGUCUAUUUCGCCUUCUAUUUCGGCAAACAAGUGUAUAAGUUAUACCUUGUGAGUUUAACAAGUGGGGAAGCUGUCAAGUUUCCAAAAUAAACGUAAUGGGUUACGGGACGGGUCGGUGUGCUGUGUCGGUGUGAUAUCAGGACUCUGUUUACAUGAGUUCGGAGCGGGGUUGUUGGUCAAAAUGCUGCCGACCGUGGAGGAGAGUCGCGGCUACGACUUCCAGGACCCAGAGAACGCGGAGAAAUGGCGCGGCUUGUUCGUCAAUUCACUACGAAAGGUGCUGGAAGGCGUACACCCGACGCUAUGCGCGGAGGAGAGCGCGCUGGUGUACGUGGAGUCGCUGUGCCUCCGCCUCUUGGCCAUGCUGUGCGCCGCCCCCUCCCCGCUCUGUGUCCAGGAUGUGGAGGAGCGCGUGGCGCGGACCUUCCCGACUCCGCUGGACAAGUGGGCACUCAGCGACGCGCGGGACGCAGCCGCCAGUCGCCGCCGUCGCGCCCUGCUGCCGCUAGACAAGAUACACCACCUGCUGCAGAAGGAGGUCCUACUCUACAAAAUCGACAUGUCCGUCUCGGUCUUCAUCACAGCGAUACUGGAGUACGUGUCCGCAGACAUCCUCAAAUUGGCCGGCAACUUCGUGAAGAAGAUCUCACAGAAGUCUGGCUACGAAACCGUUACCAGCAGAGACAUUAAGACUGCCAUGUGCGCUGAUAAGGUUCUAAUGGACAUGUUCUACCAAGACUCGGAGCUGGCGCUGGCAGACAGUGGGGGAGGCAGCGAGAGGAGAAGACGGGGGUCCCUCACGUACGCUGAGCUGGUGAGAGACCUCCUCACCGACGAGAGACACUUCCUCAGAGAGCUGAACCUGAUCAUCCGCGUGUUCAAAGACGAACUAGAGAAGAUACUGGAUAAAGAUAGUCGGGCAAUAACGUUGAUAUUCGGUAACAUUGUGGACAUCUAUGAGUUGACGGUGACUCUCCUGGGUAAUCUGGAGGACGCCUGCGAGAUGGCCCAGGACUCGCCCACGCCAUACAUCGGCAGUUGCUUCGAAGAAUUAGCGGAGGUGGAAGAGUUCCGAGCGUACGUACGUUACGCAAACAUCGUGACGAGGAAGGAGUCAAGGGACGCUUUGCAGAAUAUAGUGGACGAUCCACUUCUGGGCGAGCGGCUGGAGACGGCGGGGCACGGGUUCCGGCUGGCGGUGAAGUACGUGCUGCCGCGGCUGCUGCUGGCGCCGCUGGCGCACGUGUUCCUGGUGCACUCGUACGUGCUGGCGCUGCUGCAGAUUGCGCCCGCGCACGACGACCGCGAGAGCUUCAAGCAGGUGGAAUGUAAUCUACAUCCAAUAAAAAAAUUGUUAAUGAAAGCUUUAGGGAAUGGUCCAAAGAUGGAUGCAACGUUGAGAAUGGCGACGCGUGCCAGAAGACAAUUGGCGAUAGAAAAAUGUAACGAAUUGGCGAGGUUGGUUGACAAUUGGGACAACAAGGACAUUGGGCAGUGCUGUAACGAGUUUAUUAGAGAGGACACGUUAUCAAAGAUCGGCCCGGGAAAGCGGAUAGCGGAAAGAAGAGCGUAUUUAUUUGACGGCCUGCUACUGCUCUGCAAGCCUGUCACAAGUUUGGUGGGAGUCAACAGUGGUAACUUGACGGGCCCAGGCGGCGCGCAACAACUCAAACUGAAGGAGAAACUGCAUGUUAGGAAAUUAGAACUAGUCGACAGACCAGACACUGAUGAGGGCAGACAUAUGUUGGAGCUGUGCCCACGCGUGGGCCCGCCCGUGGUGCUGGCGUGCGCGUCCUGCGCUGAGAAGAGGAACUGGAUGUGCGACCUCGUCAUGCUGAACACCAAGCCCAUGCUGGACAGGAGUCUGGACAGCAUCCUCCUAGACCUGGAGAGGCGGCACCCCCUCCAGCUGCCCCCGGAGAGCCUGUACCGGUUCGCGGCCCCGGACAGUCCCAACAACAUCGUGUUAGAAGAACGGUCCGGGAACACUGGCGCUCCACUCAUUAAGGGCGCGACCCUCCUGAAGUUAGUGGAGCGUCUCACGUACCACAUCUACGCGGACCUCAACCUGGUGCGGACCUUCCUCACCACGUACCGGUCGUUCUGCAGCCCCCACGAGCUGCUGGCGCUGCUGGUGGAAAGGUUCCGCAUGCCGGAGCCCAGCGAGGUCUACACCAACAGGCAGGAAGAGAGUAUAGAGUGUGUCAGCAGUGACGUUGAGAAGCUCAGCAAGAACACAGCGAGAGAGGACUGGAAGAGAUACCGCAAGGAGUUUCAGCAACCAGUUAAAUUCAGAGUAAUAAACGUGCUCCGACACUGGGUUGACCAGCACUUCUACGACUUCGAGCGCGACCCGGCGCUGCUCGAGAAGCUGCGAGAGUUCUUAGAGUCUGUGGACGGCAAGCCCAUGAGGAAGUGGGUCCAGAGCGUGCUCAAGACUCUGCAGAGGAAGAGCGGCCAGAUGGAGCUAGAAUGCUCCGGCGGCGUGUCGCACGUGUUCGACCGGUCCCCGCCGGCGGUGUUCAAGCACGUGGCCGACCCCGACCGGUGCGGGUGGCACCCGCUGGCGCUGCACCCGCUGGAACUGGCGAGACAACUCACACUGCUCGAGUUCCAGCUUUAUAGACAGGUCAAACCAUCAGAGCUGGUGGGCGCUGUGUGGACCAAGAAGGACAAGGAGAAGACCAGCCCGAACCUGCUCAAGAUCAUCAAACAUACCACCAAUUUUACCCGUUGGAUGGAGAAAUGGAUAGUGGAAAGCGAGAACAUAGAGGAGCGUGUGGGAGUGGUCUGUCGCCUGCUGGAGCUGUGCGUGGCGCUGAGAGACCUGAACAACUUCAACGGGGUGCUGGCCGUGGUGGCUGCGCACGGGUCCGCGUCCGUGCACAGGCUGAAGACCACCUUCCAGAUGGUCCCGCUGCGGCUGAUACGUGCGCUGGAGGAGUUCCGGGAGCUGAACUCGGACCACUUCAGGCGCUACCAGGAGCGGCUGCGCAGCAUCAACCCGCCCUGCGUGCCAUUCUUCGGGAUGUACCUGACCAACAUACUGCACAUCGAGGAGGGGAACUUGGACUACCUGCCGAACACGGAACUGAUAAACUUCUCGAAGCGGAGAAAAGUGGCGGAGAUCACGGGCGAGAUACAGCAGUACCAGAACCAGCCGUACUGCCUCACUGUCGAGCCCAGGACAAGGGCGUUCCUCGAAGCCCUGGAUCCUUUUCCCGGUAUGAGUGACAACGAGAUAACGAACUACCUAUACGCCAAGAGCCUGGAGAUCGAACCCCGGCCGCCUGUGAAACAGAUGCCCAAAUUCCCGAGAAAGUAUCCCGACCUGUCGUUGAAGCAAGUGAAGGUAUCAAGGAGAACUCACCAAGACACACCCGCUCACCAUUCUACCUCAAGCAACGACGAUAAUCUGAGUGUAUCGCAGCUGUCGCCGACAAGCGGCAGCACGUGGGACGGACAGUCAGUCGCGUCGCUACCCAUUCACCACGACGACCAUAGAGGGUCCAGGUCGGAGGAGCGCGGCUCGCUGGUGAGCCCGCGGCUGGAGCGCUGCGCUAGCAGCUCCUUCAGCCAGUUCAGCUUGCUGGACAAGGGGCUCGCGCUCUUCGACAAGACCAAGUCCACCGCCUCGCUCAGUGCCAAAAGCAGUACAAAAGAGGAGCCUGCGUCGCCGCGAGACCGGCAUUCUCCGCGACACGACAGGCCGCAGCCGCCGCAGGGCGAGAGGAAGGCGCUGUCCCCGCGCGGCGCCAUCGUCGACGCGGAACUGUUCUACUCUAGGAGCGUCGACCACCUCACGCGGAGGCAGGAUCAGGAGCGCGUGCCCCCCCUGCUGCCGCGCAGCAGCGUGGUGUCCACCGGCAGCGCGUGCGACACCGACCGCCCCCCUGUCUUACCCCGACGGGACGCACCGCACAAUGCAUCAAGUGAACCGAGCGAGGCCGCGCCGGGGGGGCCGCCUGCGCCUCCUGAGCGACCGCUGCCGAGCCCCAAACACCACGAACUAUUCAGAAUGACAGCCGUGUCUCCGAAGAGGUCCCCCGCGCCCCAGCCGCCUGCCAGCCCCUUAGUAACUACAGAUAGGACGAGUGCGUUCAACUUCCCCGUGUCGCCGGCCGCGCCGCCGCUGACGCCGCAUCCGCCCCCGCCAAGUAAAUGCGGCACGCCUCCUCCGCUGCCGCCUCGAAGAAGAAAAGAUUCCAUAGCGCCGCCCACCCCCGUACACCAGCCCCUGAGCGGUGGCAGUGGCGGCGUGUCCCCGUGCGCGGGCGCUCCGCCCCCGCUGCCGCCGCGGCCCGCGCCCGCGCCCGAGCUGCUGCGGCCCGCGCACUCCACCAUCCUGCAGCGGAGGCAUCACACUACCAACAACACGGUGGCGUCCCCGGGCCCGCGGCUGCCGCCCAAGCCGUGCCCGCUGCUGGCGCCGCGCCCCUGACACCAGCCCCCCGCCACCACGCCGGGUACCAGCACCGGUCCCAGCUGCACGGCGCCGCUGUCGGCCGCGGCCGCCGGCUGCACGGUGCACGCCACGCGCGUCGACCUCGACACCGUCGACAUAUACUACACCUGCGACACUCUGUGACUCUUUAACCGACUGCAAAAAAGGUGGUACUACGUUGUAUGUUCAGUCAGUGUUCUGUUACUCCCAUUUAGCUGCGCGCGUUUAGUGAAUGGAAAUAAACGUGAAAGUAUUCUUGUGGUUUGAAAAUGUGGCAACGAAAAUCUUACCGCAGGAGGAGCUUCAGAAUCGUACCGUCAAGAUAACAAGCAAGCACCCAAAAAAGCACCCAACCAAGCAAGCUUUAUAUACCGCUACGGCCUUUAUUGCUGUGAUGUAAAGGUAUUAACCUGCGCGCGCCUUGUUACUUACAGUCAUGAGCAAUAUCAUGUACCCACUUUAGAACCCUGUCGCACUAUCAUAUUUGACAUUUAAUGAGACUUACGGUUUAAUUUGUCAUAAAAAGUUCAUGUGACAUGGUUUCAAAGUGUAUCAUAUUAGUACUCGUGACCAUACAUUGGCAAGACUUAUUUACGAAACGGCAUAAGUGGCUGAGCACAGACAAAUAGCGACUUAAAAUCAGUAACAUUAACGUGUUUUUAGAAAUUUUGUUGUACGAUUCGCUACUGCAAUUGGGAACUUGACAGUUUAAAAUACAAAUUCUUACUUUAUACAUCUUAAAAUGUGUUAUUUUCUCGAAAUAGAUAGAUAGUUAAAAUACUUUAUUGAGAUUUGAAAUAGCUUUAUUAAUAGAAAAAUACAUUUUCUUUUCAUCAAUUUCAAAUUUCGUUCGAAAACGGUUGGUCACGUGACAUUUCGCCCGGUGACGUCACAUUUCAACAAACAAAGAAACUGUCAAACAGUAUAACUUGAGGCUUUUUGGCGGGAAACGGGAACGGGACAGUUGCUUUCUUCAUUGAAUAAUCUAAAUAAUUAGUACGAAGUGGUGUUUUGUGGUUAAUGAUCGCAUUAAGUUAGUCAGAAGACAUUCGCGAGUGUUAUUUUAUCGGAGUAUUCAAUAAACAAAGUGUAUCUGCCUAUUUUCGCUUCGUGCUAGGAAGCCGCUUCAUAACUCGAAAGUUUAUGCGGACUUUUGAGUUAAUUCGUUUGGGGUUCGGAGCAGGAGUCUGCUCCGAGGGUGGGGGCUUAGGUUUCAUCAUCAUCACCUUUCAUCAUUUCAUUAAUAUCAAGAAAAAAAUACGCAAGACAUGGCUGUAUAGGCAUAGUUCCCUUUGCCUUACCCUUCGGGGAAAACCAAGUAUAACUUAAAACCUGACAGAUAGGUUUUGUUUACUUUGUGGAAUGUGACGUCACACGAAAAUCAAUCAUGGCUGCCCGUGUUUCGGGUGUUGUAAUACACAGAUAAAAAAUAGCAUUCUAAUUUUGUAAAAAAAAAAUAAUAUUUGAAAAUGAUCUUAAUAAAAUGAUAAAUCGCAAAGUAAUAAAUUGACUGGUUGCACUUAAGACCUCCUGGUUACAUGUCGUUUCUGUAAUAGACCAAAACACCUACAGAACAUUACAAAACAUUAAUUUUUAAACUAUGACAACUAAUGGUUCGUAGUUUCACCACUGUUUACAAAUUCGCUGGGCUCAGUGACUGAACUUUUUUUUGUACAGUGACUGUAAUCAACGUGUAGUGUCUGUGGAAAACAAGGUGUUUUGUAUGAAGUGUGCGGUGUGUGCCUCUGCAGACGGAAUCAAGCCUUGGCCCCGAUUCCUGCAGACACCUCCUAAUUUUACUUUAAAUUAUACCUGUCAUUUUCCUAUCCGCCGAAAAGGAAAGGGACGGAUGAUUCACAGCUCUUAAUUUUAGGAAGAAUGAGUAAAUGAAUGAAUAACCCGGGCGAAUCAAAUAGGUAUCUCGCUGGUAUGCAAACCGUUUGACAUGUGCUGUCAACUUAAUUCUGUUGGGUUAUUGGCCAAUGUAAAAUUUUUAGACGGUUGUUUUUAGAUUUGUGUUUAAAAUUGACGUGUGUUCCAUAAAUUUUAUGCUUGUCGAUUAUCCGUCCCUUUCCUUUUCGGCGG